GUAGGUGGUAAGCGUUGUCCGGAAUUAUUGGGCGUAAAGCGCGCGCAGGUGGUUCUUUAAGUCUGAUGUGAAAGCCCCCGGGCUCAACCGGGGAGGGUCAUUGGAAACUGGGGAACUUGAGUGCAGGAGAGGAAAGUGGAAUUCCACGUGUAGCGGUGAAAUGCGUAGAUAUGUGGAGGAACACCAGUGGCGAAGGCGACUUUCUGGCCUGUAACUGACACUGAGGCGCGAAAGCGUGGGGAGCAAACAGGAUUAGAUACCCUGGUAGUCCACGCCGUAAACGAUGAGUGCUAAGUGUUGGGGGGUUUCCGCCCCUCAGUGCUGCAGCUAACGCAUUAAGCACUCCGCCUGGGGAGUACGGUCGCAAAGACUG
This 373-nucleotide ribosomal RNA is filed under the name uncultured organism. Its description in RNAcentral is "partial 16S ribosomal RNA". It matches the Rfam family "Bacterial small subunit ribosomal RNA", at positions 527 to 896 of the family's 1533-position model. The record is from RNAcentral.